RNAcentral lists this ribosomal RNA (843 nucleotides) under Nocardia brasiliensis. RNAcentral describes it as "bacterial SSU rRNA". It matches the Rfam family "Bacterial small subunit ribosomal RNA", at positions 60 to 918 of the family's 1533-position model. Lineage: Bacteria; Bacillati; Actinomycetota; Actinomycetes; Mycobacteriales; Nocardiaceae. The record is from RNAcentral.
AGUCGAGCGGUAAGGCCCUUCGGGGUACACGAGCGGCGAACGGGUGAGUAACACGUGGGUGAUCUGCCUCGCACUUCGGGAUAAGCCUGGGAAACUGGGUCUAAUACCGGAUAUGACCUUUCAGUGCAUGCUGUUGGGUGGAAAGAUUUAUCGGUGCGAGAUGGGCCCGCGGCCUAUCAGCUUGUUGGCGGGGUAACGGCCCACCAAGGCGACGACGGGUAGCCGACCUGAGAGGGUGACCGGCCACACUGGGACUGAGACACGGCCCAGACUCCUACGGGAGGCAGCAGUGGGGAAUAUUGCACAAUGGGCGGAAGCCUGAUGCAGCGACGCCGCGUGAGGGAUGACGGCCUUCGGGUUGUAAACCUCUUUCGACAGGGACGAAGCGCAAGUGACGGUACCUGUAGAAGAAGCACCGGCCAACUACGUGCCAGCAGCCGCGGUAAUACGUAGGGUGCGAGCGUUGUCCGGAAUUACUGGGCGUAAAGAGCUUGUAGGCGGUUUGUCGCGUCGUCCGUGAAAACUUGGGGCUCAACCCCAAGCUUGCGGGCGAUACGGGCAGACUUGAGUACUUCAGGGGAGACUGGAAUUCCUGGUGUAGCGGUGAAAUGCGCAGAUAUCAGGAGGAACACCGGUGGCGAAGGCGGGUCUCUGGGAAGUAACUGACGCUGAGAAGCGAAAGCGUGGGUAGCGAACAGGAUUAGAUACCCUGGUAGUCCACGCCGUAAACGGUGGGUACUAGGUGUGGGUUUCCUUCCACGGGAUCCGUGCCGUAGCUAACGCAUUAAGUACCCCGCCUGGGGAGUACGGCCGCAAGGCUAAAACUCAAAGGAAUUGACGGGG